RNAcentral lists this ribosomal RNA (566 nucleotides) under Escherichia coli. Its description in RNAcentral is "bacterial SSU rRNA". It matches the Rfam family "Bacterial small subunit ribosomal RNA", at positions 1 to 556 of the family's 1533-position model. The record is from RNAcentral. Lineage: Bacteria; Pseudomonadati; Pseudomonadota; Gammaproteobacteria; Enterobacterales; Enterobacteriaceae.
AAAUUGAAGAGUUUGAUCAUGGCUCAGAUUGAACGCUGGCGGCAGGCCUAACACAUGCAAGUCGAACGGUAACAGGAAACAGCUUGCUGUUUCGCUGACGAGUGGCGGACGGGUGAGUAAUGUCUGGGAAACUGCCUGAUGGAGGGGGAUAACUACUGGAAACGGUAGCUAAUACCGCAUAACGUCGCAAGACCAAAGAGGGGGACCCUCGGGCCUCUUGCCAUCGGAUGUGCCCAGAUGGGAUUAGCUUGUUGGUGGGGUAACGGCUCACCAAGGCGACGAUCCCUAGCUGGUCUGAGAGGAUGACCAGCCACACUGGAACUGAGACACGGUCCAGACUCCUACGGGAGGCAGCAGUGGGGAAUAUUGCACAAUGGGCGCAAGCCUGAUGCAGCCAUGCCGCGUGUAUGAAGAAGGCCUUCGGGUUGUAAAGUACUUUCAGCGGGGAGGAAGGGAGUAAAGUUAAUACCUUUGCUCAUUGACGUUACCCGCAGAAGAAGCACCGGCUAACUCCGUGCCAGCAGCCGCGGUAAUACGGAGGGUGCAAGCGUUAAUCGGAAUUACUG